Molecule: transfer RNA, 73 nt
Filed under: Mycolicibacterium agri
Lineage: Bacteria; Bacillati; Actinomycetota; Actinomycetes; Mycobacteriales; Mycobacteriaceae
Also listed under: 2 other names
Description: Mycobacterium agri tRNA
Rfam family: tRNA
About the family: Transfer RNA (tRNA) molecules are approximately 80 nucleotides in length. Their secondary structure includes four short double-helical elements and three loops (D, anti-codon, and T loops).
Source: Rfam by way of RNAcentral
GCCUCCGUAGCUCAGCGGAUAGAGCAGCCGCCUUCUAAGCGGUUGGUCGCAGGUUCGAGUCCUGCCGGGGGCG